GACGAACGCUGGCGGCGUGCUUAACACAUGCAAGUCGAACGGAAAGGCCCUGCUUGCCGGGUACUCGAGUGGCGAACGGGUGAGUAACACGUGGGUGAUCUGCCCUGCACUUCGGGAUAAGCCUGGGAAACUGGGUCUAAUACCGGAUAGGAGCCAUUUUUAGUGUGAUGGUUGGAAAGUUUUUUCGGUGUAGGAUGAGCUCGCGGCCUAUCAGCUUGUUGGUGGGGUAAUGGCCUACCAAGGCGGCGACGGGUAGCCGGCCUGAGAGGGUGGACGGCCACAUUGGGACUGAGGUACGGCCCAGACGCCUACGGGAGGCAGCAGUGGGGAAUAUUGCACAAUGGGCGCAAGCCUGAUGCAGCGACGCCGCGUGGGGGAUGACGGCCUUCGGGUUGUAAACUCCUUUCGCUAGGGACGAAGCUUUUGUGACGGUACCUAGAUAAGAAGCACCGGCUAACUACGUG
RNAcentral lists this ribosomal RNA (464 nucleotides) under uncultured bacterium. Its description in RNAcentral is "partial 16S ribosomal RNA". It matches the Rfam family "Bacterial small subunit ribosomal RNA", at positions 28 to 507 of the family's 1533-position model. The record is from RNAcentral.